RNAcentral lists this ribosomal RNA (491 nucleotides) under uncultured bacterium. Its description in RNAcentral is "partial 16S ribosomal RNA". It matches the Rfam family "Bacterial small subunit ribosomal RNA", at positions 29 to 507 of the family's 1533-position model. The record is from RNAcentral.
AUGAACGCUAGCUACAGGCUUAACCCAUGCAAGUCGAGGGGAAACGGCAUCGAAAGCUUGCUUUUGAUGGGCGUCGACCGGCGCACGGGUGAGUAACGCGUAUCCAACCUGCCCAUCACUUGGGAAUAACCUUGCGAAAGUAAGACUAAUGCCCAAUGACAUCCCACGAAGGCAUCCGAAUGGGAUUAAAGAUUUAUCGGUGAUGGAUGGGGAUGCGUCUGAUUAGCUUGUUGGCGGGGUGACGGCCCAACAAGGCAACGAUCAGUAGGGGUUCUGAGAGGAAGGUCCCCCACAUUGGAACUGACACACGGUCCAAACUCCUACGGGAGGCAGCAGUGAGGAAUAUUGGUCAAUGGGCGAGAGCCUGAACCAGCCAAGUAGCGUGCAGGAUGACGGCCCUAUGGGUUUUAAACUGCUUUUAUAAGGGAAUAAAGUGGGUCACGUGUGACUUUUUGCAUGUACCUUAUGAAUAAGGACCGUCUAAUUCCGUG